AGUGAACGCUGGCGGUAGGCCUAACACAUGCAAGUCGAACGGCAGCACAGUAAGAGCUUGCUCUUACGGGUGGCGAGUGGCGGACGGGUGAGGAAUACAUCGGAAUCUACUUUUUCGUGGGGGAUAACGUAGGGAAACUUACGCUAAUACCGCAUGCGACCUACGGGUGAAAGCAGGGGAUCUUCGGACCUUGCGCGAUUGAAUGAGCCGAUGUCGGAUUAGCUAGUUGGCGGGGUAAAGGCCCACCAAGGCGACGAUCCGUAGCUGGUCUGAGAGGAUGAUCAGCCACACUGGAACUGAGACACGGUCCAGACUCCUACGGGAGGCAGCAGUGGGGAAUAUUGGACAAUGGGCGCAAGCCUGAUCCAGCCAUACCGCGUGGGUGAAGAAGGCCUUCGGGUUGUAAAGCCCUUUUGUUGGGAAAGAAAAGCAGCAGGUUAAUACCCCGCUGUUCUGACGGUACCCAAAGAAUAAGUACCGGCUAACUUCGUG
Molecule: ribosomal RNA, 492 nt
Filed under: uncultured bacterium
Lineage: Bacteria
Description: partial 16S ribosomal RNA
Rfam family: Bacterial small subunit ribosomal RNA
Source: RNAcentral